Molecule: ribosomal RNA, 393 nt
Filed under: uncultured bacterium
Lineage: Bacteria
Description: bacterial SSU rRNA
Rfam family: Bacterial small subunit ribosomal RNA
Source: RNAcentral
AAUCAACGCUGGCGGCGUGCCUCAGACAUGCAAGUCGAACGAUUAAAGCUCCCUUCGGGGAGUGCAUAAAGUGGCGCACGGGUGAGUAACACGUAAGUAAUCUACCCUUCGAGUGGGGAAUAACGUUCGGAAACGAACGCUAAUACCGCAUAAUGCAGCGGCAUCUAUGAUGACAGUUGUUAAAGAUUUAUCGCUUGAAGAGGAGCUUGCGGCAGAUUAGCAGUUGGUAAGGUAAUGGCUUACCAAGGCUACGAUCUGUAUCCGGUCUAAGAGGACGGUCGGACACACUGACACUGAAUAACGGGUCAGACUCCUACGGGAGGCAGCAGUCGGGAAUUUUGGGCAAUGGGCGAAAGCCUGACCCAGCAACGCCGCGUGAAGGAUGAAGUUUUU